RNAcentral lists this ribosomal RNA (350 nucleotides) under Rhizobium sp. JEYF16. RNAcentral's name for it is "partial 16S rRNA". Lineage: Bacteria; Pseudomonadati; Pseudomonadota; Alphaproteobacteria; Hyphomicrobiales; Rhizobiaceae. The record is from RNAcentral.
UAUAGAUCCUAUACGGGGAUUGGGCCUCUAGAUGCAUGCUCGAGCGGCCGCCAGUGUGAUGGAUAUCUGCAGAAUUCCAGCACACUGGCGGCCGUUACUAGUGGAUCCGAGCUCGGUACCAAGCUUGGCGUAAUCAUGGUCAUAGCUGUUUCCUGUGUGAAAUUGUUAUCCGCUCACAAUUCACCUACAUACGAGCCGGAAGCAUAAAGUGUAAAGCCUGGGGUGCCUAAUGAGUGAGCUAACUCACAUUAAUUGCGUUGCGCUCACUGCCCGCUUUCCAGUCGGGAAACCUGUCGUGCCAGCUGCAUUAAUGAAUCGGCCAACGCGCGGGGUAGAGGCGGUUUGCGUAU